UUACAAAAGUCCAUUUAUUUU
RNAcentral lists this non-coding RNA (21 nucleotides) under Caenorhabditis elegans. Lineage: Eukaryota; Metazoa; Nematoda; Chromadorea; Rhabditida; Rhabditidae. The record is from RNAcentral.